UGUCACUCUUCUUCUCUCUUUCUCUCCAUCCUCAUAGGCCAUCCUCACUAGUUGCCAUCAUCGCUGGAAUAUAGAAAACUCAAAGAUCAAGACGAAGAUGAAAAUGGUGGUGGAGACGACAUAGAAAGCCAGAAACCUCUUUCAGUGACUAAUGUGCCCACCUUGGGAGGUGCCACUGUUGACUGGUCCAAAUGGAAGCUCAAGUUUCGGCCUCGUAUUCUUGUUGAUGCAAGCAAGAUAGACAUGGCCACACCUGUUCUGGGCUUCAAAAUCUCAAUGCCCAUCAUGAUUGCUCCCAUAGCCAUGCAGAAGAUGGCUCACCCUGAAGGAAUGUACCUUUGGUGUUAGUUAUAUUCAUACAUUUGUACAUAUAUACAUAUAUGGCAUUGUUAAAAAUAAAAUAGGCAUGUAUAUAAUAUAUGUCCAAAAUAUGUGCAUAAUAUGUUCAUUAUACCUACGUUAUUCAUACCUUAAAGAUGAUGUUGGGGUGCGUAUGAGACAAUUUGGAGAUAAAUUUCUUAUUGGCUACAAUAUGUAACUUGCUCACUUGUUCUACUUUCAUUUCGGAACCAAGAGUAUGCUUCUUCUUCUUGAUUCGAACAAAAGUAUGUGUAUGUAACACUUGCUUUUCCAAGAAGCUUUAAGCAAAAGGUUCAUUUAAGAGGUUUUAAAAGAAUUAUACCUUGUAAUUUUCAUUUCCAAAAUUUCAUAUGCAACUUCACCUCUUUAGAAGAGGAUCUUGAUACAAUAGCUUCUACACUCUACUGUCAUCUUUUCUUUUCCUUUUCCUUUUAAUUUUUUAUUGGUCUUUGUUUCAAGUACUAAGCACAACAGUGUCAGGCUGUACUGUACCAUUCCUUUUAGACACUUUUAAGAGUUCCAAAGUUAUAUAGUAUGCAUUAAUUUAUUUUGAUGGAGGUAUAGAGGAAAAAAAAUCAAACUAUUUUUUCCCUAAAUGGAGGUAAAGGUACUUCUAAAUGCAGUUGAAAGUUAUUUCACAAAAAAUAGAUCCUGAUAUCUUAUUUAAAUUAGAAGGUGAAUAUAUUGGUAACUUUGAAUAAGCAUUCUUCUUUAUAGGCCAACUACAUGGCUCCUUUUAACAUCAUCCAUGGGAAUGGUGUAGCUGCACUUUCUAAGAAAUACUUUUUAUUAUGAAAUGCAUGCUUAAAAGUUCAUAAAGAGUUUUUGCAGUGGAGGGGGGGGGGGGGGGUUUUAAAAUUUAAAUUGAAUUAAAAAUUUUCUUGUAUUUCCUUGAUAGUGUUGAUUUCAAUGUGUAAACCAAUUGGGCCUGCGACACUUUGUGGAUUUCCAAAAUAAUUGUAAUCAAUGUUAACAUGUUGUUUAUGCAUGAUUGGGGGUUUCAGACACUUUCCUCAUGGGCUUGGAAUUGUUAGUAUUAUUUUUAAUUUAUUUUUUGCUGAAUAAUUUUAAUGUGAACAUAUGCUUAAAUUUGUGACAUGAGUAUGGUAAUUAGUGUGUUUAAAAUUGAUUUCUUUCAAUUCGGUCACAAAGAAAGUCAGAAUUUAAUAAGUUGUAUCUUGUGAAGGUAUUCCUUAAAAUAGGUGGGUGCUUUGGGUUUGGGUCUUGAAAUAUGAAUAAAGAAAUAAAUAAUAUGUAAAAUGAAAUAGAGUCUGGUAUGAAUGUUCAACAAUGCCAAAUGGGUACAAAAGCUAAUACAAAACUUUAUUCAUAUUUAAAUUCAUUCCGUAUGAUAAUGGUUAUUCUUGAUGGUUUUGAGGCUUCAGGCUGGACAUAAGUAUUGUUUGUUGGGCAAGCUUUCAUCUGAGGUUGGAUGGAACCACUAUGACACUAUUAAGGAGAAACUAUCAUCUUUUGAAGAAAUGAAGGAAAGACUUAGCCAAUUUGAAGAGAUGCAGCAAAGAAUGGCUCGCAUGCUUCAACAAAUGCAACAAAUAACUUCACAAUGCAGUCAGGACGUUCCUCCGAUCCUACAAUCCCCAGCUCCCCAAAAAUCAUCAGCUGCAUCCCAUCAACCAAGUAGCUUAUAAGUUUUAUGUUGGUGUUUAAGGACAUUUUGUGUACAAAGAACCAUAUUUGAACAACCACAUUUUUUGCAAGUAUGGAAAAAUAUUUUGAAACACUUUGAAACUUUGAUUAUGGUAUUAGUUUAAUUUAAGUGUUGAAGGACUUUUUGUAUGCAAA
Long non-coding RNA from Quercus lobata, 2163 nucleotides. RefSeq lists it as uncharacterized. The record is from RefSeq and is a predicted model, not a curated record. The transcript has 5 exons. Lineage: Eukaryota; Viridiplantae; Streptophyta; Magnoliopsida; Fagales; Fagaceae.